CAUCCUAGCAACCCGGAGAACACCACCCCAAAAACACAUCUAAGUACAUUCGCACUUCUCCCCGUUUCCAAAAUACCCCGUCGCUUCUUAGAUCCAAAAACUGAGUUAGCAAUAUGUCUGUGUGGUUUUUUUUUUUAAAGCACAAAACCAUGAGAUGCAGUUUUAUGGCAGCAGUAGAAUGCGAAUAACAAAACGUCAGCACCUUUGCAAUGCCUGCGUCUUUUCUCUUGGGAAGCUUCCUUAGACUCUUUCAAAAAAGAAGGGGGAAAGCAGGCGUUCCUCGAUUUGGAAAAAGUAAAGACCCCCGUGGCGUGGGGCAUGACGCGGGUGUGUGUAUUAUAGAACAGAUGAAUAAACCGCAAGGCAGCUUGUUCUACUACCUCCAACUCCCGAUAUUACUCGAGGACUUCCAAGGCUUCCACGGCCAGGCGCAGAUGCUCUUUCAAAUGUUUAAUCUCUCGUUCUGACCGUUGCUUGAUGUGAUUCAGCUCCAGAAUUCCUGCUAUUGGCAGCACUACCAGCCCUUGCCUGGUUUUGCCGAAGCAGCUCUUUCCCCUCCUGUUGACAACGCUGCAGCAUUUGUUCCUGUUCUUCUGCCUUCUGCACCAGGCCCCCGAUCUGCAGGCACU
Molecule: non-coding RNA, 629 nt
Organism: Notechis scutatus (mainland tiger snake)
Lineage: Eukaryota; Metazoa; Chordata; Lepidosauria; Squamata; Elapidae
Source: RefSeq, a predicted model, not a curated record